GACGAACGCUGGCGGCGUGCUUAACACAUGCAAGUCGAACGGAAAGGCCCUGCUUUUGUGGGGUGCUCGAGUGGCGAACGGGUGAGUAACACGUGAGUAACCUGCCCUUGACUUUGGGAUAACUUCAGGAAACUGGGGCUAAUACCGGAUAGGAGCUCCUGCUGCAUGGUGGGGGUUGGAAAGUUUCGGCGGUUGGGGAUGGACUCGCAGCUUAUCAGCUUGUUGGUGGGGUAGUGGCUUACCAAGGCUUUGACGGGUAGCCGGCCUGAGAGGGUGACCGGCCACAUUGGGACUGAGAUACGGCCCAGACUCCUACGGGAGGCAGUAGUGGGGAAUAUUGCACAAUGGGCGGAAGCCUGAUGCAGCAACGCCGCGUGCGGGAUGACGGCCUUCGGGUUGUAAACCGCUUUCGCCUGUGACGAAGCGUGAGUGACGGUAAUGGGUAAAGAAGCACCGGCUAACUACGUG
This 468-nucleotide ribosomal RNA is filed under the name uncultured bacterium. Its description in RNAcentral is "partial 16S ribosomal RNA". It matches the Rfam family "Bacterial small subunit ribosomal RNA", at positions 28 to 507 of the family's 1533-position model. The record is from RNAcentral.